This 449-nucleotide ribosomal RNA is filed under the name uncultured bacterium. RNAcentral describes it as "bacterial SSU rRNA". It matches the Rfam family "Bacterial small subunit ribosomal RNA", at positions 352 to 793 of the family's 1533-position model. The record is from RNAcentral.
CAGUGGGGAAUAUUGCACAAUGGGCGCAAGCCUGAUGCAGCCAUGCCGCGUGUAUGAAGAAGGCCUUCGGGUUGUUAAAGUACUUUCAGCAGUGAGGAAGGUGGGUAUGUUAAUAGCAUAUUCAUUUGACGUUAGCUGCAGAAGAAGCACCGGCUAACUCCGUGCCAGCAGCCGCGGUAAUACGGAGGGUGCGAGCGUUAAUCGGAAUUACUGGGCGUAAAGCGCAUGCAGGUGGUUUGUUAAGUCAGAUGUGAAAGCCCGGGGCUCAACCUCGGAAUUGCAUUUGAAACUGGCAAACUAGAGUACUGUAGAGGGGGUAGAAUUUCAGGUGUAGCGGUGAAAUGCGUAGAGAUCUGAAGGAAUACCGGUGGCGAAGGCGGCCCCCUGGACAGAUACUGACACUCAGAUGCGAAAGCGUGGGGAGCAAACAGGAUUAGAUACCCUGGUAG